CAGUCGCCACGGUAAUACGUAGGGUGCGAGCGUUAAUCGGAAUUACUGGGCGUAAAGCGUGCGCAGGCGGUUCGUUAAGACAGAUGUGAAAUCCCCGGGCUUAACCUGGGAACUGCAUUUGUGACUGGCGAGCUAGAGUAUGGCAGAGGGGGGUAGAAUUCCACGUGUAGCAGUGAAAUGCGUAGAGAUGUGAAGGAAUACCGAUGGCGAAGGCAGCCACCUGGACCAAUACUGACGCUCAUGCACGAAAGCGUGGGGAGCAAACAGGAUUAGAGACCCCAGUAGUCCCUGUCUCUUAUAC
This 301-nucleotide ribosomal RNA is filed under the name uncultured bacterium. Its description in RNAcentral is "partial 16S ribosomal RNA". It matches the Rfam family "Bacterial small subunit ribosomal RNA", at positions 509 to 807 of the family's 1533-position model. The record is from RNAcentral.